GAUGAACGCUGGCGGCGUGCCUAAUGCAUGCAAGUCGAGCGAACAGAUAAGGAGCUUGCUCCUUUGACGUUAGCGGCGGACGGGUGAGUAACACGUGGGUAACCUACCUAUAAGACUGGGAUAACUUCGGGAAACCGGAGCUAAUACCGGAUAACAUUUGGAACCGCAUGGUUCUAAAGUGAAAGAUGGUUUUGCUAUCACUUAUAGAUGGACCCGCGCCGUAUUAGCUAGUUGGUAAGGUAACGGCUUACCAAGGCGACGAUACGUAGCCGACCUGAGAGGGUGAUCGGCCACACUGGAACUGAGACACGGUCCAGACUCCUACGGGAGGCAGCAGUAGGGAAUCUUCCGCAAUGGGCGAAAGCCUGACGGAGCAACGCCGCGUGAGUGAUGAAGGGUUUCGGCUCGUAAAACUCUGUUAUUAGGGAAGAACAAACGUGUAAGUAACUGUGCACGUCUUGACGGUACCUAAUCAGAAAGCCACGGCUAACUACGUG
RNAcentral lists this ribosomal RNA (497 nucleotides) under uncultured bacterium. RNAcentral's name for it is "partial 16S ribosomal RNA". It matches the Rfam family "Bacterial small subunit ribosomal RNA", at positions 28 to 507 of the family's 1533-position model. The record is from RNAcentral.